AUAUAGGCCGGGACGCUCCCUGGGCAAUGUAGUCCGAGUCCGGGGUCGUGGCAGCGCCUGGGGCUGCGAGGGUGAACUACAAGUCCCAGAAUCCCAUGGGUUCCCAGGCUGGGCUCUAAAUAGACGCGCAAGGGGACAGGGAGGGGCGUCCUGCGAGGAGUCCGGGCUUCAAACCCGGCUCUGCGCCGAGAACUCGCUGACUUAGGAACCCGCGACUCAAAACCACCCGUUGGGGGCGCCCCCAGCCCUUGGGGACUCUCCUCCGUCGGCUGCCCCAUUUCUCUAGAAUCCAGGUGUCAUUGGGAGCAGGGGGCGGGGAAGAGCUCGAAUUUCUGCUUUGGGAAGUUUUUACAAGCUGUUACCCACCCUUCCCCCGCUUUGAGUACCCAGCCAAGAAUUUCAGAAAUCCAGGGCACAAAAACUCCAGUCUUUGCGGUCAAGGAUUAAAGGCGUGAGAUUGUCUUUAUUUAAGCUGUUCCGCUCUCUUCGGGUUUGCACAGAAAUCUAAGUCUGGGAGCAACGCAAGUGGGAACACAGGCAAGAGGCUUGAGAGCACUUUCCUGAACCCGAACUGCGCGUGUCUUUCCUUGCCCCGCAGGAGGUAAAGAAACGCAAGCGUCUCCGUGCAUAUAUAAAGGAGCCAGGUUGUGACUUGCCAGCGCUGAGAUUGAGAGGCAGAAAAUAAAUACGAAUCACGACCUCGGUCCUGACCCUGCUACAAGCAGCCCCUCUCCUCCCGGGAGCUGUAAAUGCUUAAGUAAAUAAACCGCAAACCAGAAAAAUAAGGGCUUUGGAGCGAGCCGGUCACAAGAAGAUGCGCGUCUAGGCGGGGCGCCCUCCAGCAGGUCCUACAGGGGCUUCCGGGGACACAAAGUGGAUUCAGCUCACUGCUAAGUGAUGCCUGGACAUCCCGGGCUAUCUGCUCAGGCUCCCGCUUUGGGAAGCCUUGUGCCUAAAGCCUCAAGCUACCAGUCCCAUCAGCAAGAAGCUCCCCCAACAUGUCACAAAAAAUGAAUCCACACCUUACGUAUCUGUCCCCUUUCUUCUUUUCCUUCAUGAAAACAACCUGUUCCAUUUCUAAAUGGUUUGUGGCUCUAUGUUUUAAAUUCAACAAAUCAUUCUAUGCUAACAUAACUGGUAAAUAUUAAAG
Long non-coding RNA from Bos taurus (domestic cattle), 1150 nucleotides. Lineage: Eukaryota; Metazoa; Chordata; Mammalia; Artiodactyla; Bovidae. The record is from Ensembl.